Long non-coding RNA from Helianthus annuus (common sunflower), 556 nucleotides. RefSeq lists it as uncharacterized. Lineage: Eukaryota; Viridiplantae; Streptophyta; Magnoliopsida; Asterales; Asteraceae. The transcript is spliced from 2 exons. The record is from RefSeq and is a predicted model, not a curated record.
CUCUCAUCACAUCUUUAAUUCUGUUUUUAGAGAGAGAAAACUGAUAUUUUGGAGAGAGAAACAACAAUAUUCAUCUUGUUCAUCUGGACACCAAGAACACACGCACAAAUGUGGUGAUUCUACUAGAUGGCAUAUCCUGUUACUACAACCCGUAGCUACACAUGUUACAUUUUUUUACAGCUACAUAUGUAACAACCCUUUGUUAUAUAUGUUAAUGACCAGCUUGUUGGAGUAUGUUAAUGGAGUUUAUGCAAGAGAUGAGUCAGCAAAGGUAGCAUAUAAAUAGCAAAGACAGACCGUCAAUGGAAGCUCCACCGCUUCUUAGUGAUCUGUGUUUUCGUUUACUAGUAAUAUGUAAUGUGAGACUCUUAUUAUUUUGUCUAGGACGUGUUGUUAAAAAUGUUCUGGCCUUCCGAACUUCUGCCCUGAAGUCGACCUCAGCAUAUUUGUGUUGCUUUUGGGCUCUAUGCAUCCAUUUUUGUGUAACUUGCUUGUAGGCAAUGUAGCUUUUUACAAGUUUACCAGUACAUUAAUCUCUAACACAUGUUAUGUGUAA